Molecule: ribosomal RNA, 380 nt
Filed under: Brassica napus (rape)
Lineage: Eukaryota; Viridiplantae; Streptophyta; Magnoliopsida; Brassicales; Brassicaceae
Description: rRNA LSU_rRNA_eukarya
Rfam family: Eukaryotic large subunit ribosomal RNA
Source: RNAcentral
GCCUGUAACAAACCUAGUACGAGAGGAACCGUUGAUUCACACAAUUGGUCAUCGCGGUUGGUUGAAAAGCCAGUGGCGUGAAGCUACCGUGCGCUGGAUUAUGACUGACCGCCUCUAAGUCCGAAUCCGGGCUAGAAGCGACGCAUGCGCCUGCCGCCCAAUUGCCGACCCUCAGUAGCGGCUUCGGCUCCCAAAGGCACGUGUCGUUGGCUAAGUCCAUUCGGCGGAAGCACCGUUCGGACCGCCUUGAAUUAUAAUUACCACCGAGUGGUGGGUAGAAUCCUUUGCAGACGACUUAAAUACGCGACGGGGUAUUGUAAGUGGCAGAGUGGCCUUGCUGCCACGAUCCACUGAGAUUCAGCCCUUUGUCACUAAGAUUU